GAGAGAGGCUUGCUGCAACGAAGACUGCUAAUCUCCGCUACCUUGGUUAAAUUCCAAGGCUCACUCGACAUUACUU
This 76-nucleotide transfer RNA is filed under the name Branchiostegus japonicus (red tilefish). Its description in RNAcentral is "tRNA-Ser". Lineage: Eukaryota; Metazoa; Chordata; Actinopteri; Malacanthidae. The record is from RNAcentral.